CCUCUCUGUUGUGAUUCAUCCCCCCCGGGCCCUACAGUUUCUCCUUCCUGACUCUUACAUUUCUUUGGAUGGCAUCAUUAUUUACCUGUCUCCUCCCAUAGUUAGGUGCCAAGCACUGUGGAUUCUGCCCCUCAGUGUCCAGACACCCAUUUUCCUUCCCACUGUUCCUUCCCCAUGGAGAAGCCUGUGGCUGGCUGACAGCAGAGAGAGAUGCUCAACUUGGAGAAGGUGUUACCUGGGCCAGGUGGGGAAGGUUUGUUUGCAGAGCAAAGAAGUGAAGCCUAUUCAACGUGAAAAAGAUGAGGAUGAAGACCUUUAUUAUGAUCCACUUCCAAGUAAUGAACACACUGGAGAAAGUCAGACAGUCAAAACAAUGUCCCAGACUCCGUGAAGUUCCUGGGUAGAGAAGGAGACAGACAUAUACCAUACCUAAUAAUUGGAUGUCCGAGAGAAUGAGAGAAUGGCAGAAAGAACUUUAGAGCAUGGGUAUGAUGGCUAGAGCUUGAGCAGCCAUUGUGGACAUCAGAUGAACUUGAAAGUGAAAACUAUGAGCUGAAUACGACAAAGCAAACAGAUAGAAAACUGGAUUCAUUAUGACAUUGCAAAGCUGCCAGACCAGCUCUAGUCUGCUUCCCCCUAAUCUUCCUUACUAAGAGAGAGAAAUAAACUUCCAUCUUCUUCAAGCCACUGUUGGUGCAUCUGACUACUUACUAGAUGGUUGCAUUUUGAUUUCCCAGAGACAUCUUAAGGUCAACAUGUUCAAAACCAAACAUCUUCCUUUCUUAAGGCUGCAUCCCACCAGGUUGUUGAAGUCAGAAACCUGGAUUCUACAUUCUCCCUUAACCCCAUAUCCAAUUAAAGCAGGCAGAAUAAUGGCUCCCUC
RNAcentral lists this non-coding RNA (883 nucleotides) under Pan troglodytes (chimpanzee). The record is from RNAcentral. Lineage: Eukaryota; Metazoa; Chordata; Mammalia; Primates; Hominidae.